RNAcentral lists this ribosomal RNA (429 nucleotides) under Bacteroidota bacterium. Its description in RNAcentral is "Bacteroidetes bacterium partial 16S ribosomal RNA". It matches the Rfam family "Bacterial small subunit ribosomal RNA", at positions 355 to 776 of the family's 1533-position model. The record is from RNAcentral. Lineage: Bacteria; Pseudomonadati; Bacteroidota.
UAGGGAAUCUUCCGCAAUGGACGCAAGUCUGACGGAGCAACGCCGCGUGAGUGAAGAAGGAUUUCGGUUCGUAAAACUCUGUUGUUAGAGAAGAACAGCGCAUAGAGUAACUGUUAUGCGUGUGACGGUAUCUAACCAGAAAGCCACGGCUAACUACGUGCCAGCAGCCGCGGUAAUACGUAGGUGGCAAGCGUUGUCCGGAUUUAUUGGGCGUAAAGCGAGCGCAGGCGGUCAAUUAAGUCUGAUGUGAAAGCCCCCGGCUCAACCGGGGAGGGUCAUUGGAAACUGGUUGACUUGAGUGCAGAAGAGGAGAGUGGAAUUCCAUGUGUAGCGGUGAAAUGCGUAGAUAUAUGGAGGAACACCAGUGGCGAAGGCGACUCCCUGGUCUGUAACUGACGCUGAGGUUCGAAAGCGUGGGUAGCAAACAGG